CAAUAGCGUAUAUUAAAGUUGUUGCGGUUAAAAGCUCGUAGUUGGAUUUCUGCUUGGGGCAACCGGUCCGCCCUCUGGGUGAGUAUCUGGCUUGGCCCGGGCAUCUUCUUGGGGAACGGUUACUGCACUUGACUGUGUGGUGCGGAGCCCAGGACCUUUACUUUGAGGAAAUUAGAGUGUUUCAAGCAGGCAUUUGCCUUGAAUACAUUAGCAUGGAAUAAUAAGAUAGGACCUCGUCCCUACCUUGUUGGUUCGUAUGGAUGAGGUAAUGAUUAAUAGGGAUAGUCGGGGGCGAUUCGUACUUAACUGUCAGAGGUGGAAAUUACUUUGGAUUUGUUUAAAG
RNAcentral lists this ribosomal RNA (343 nucleotides) under uncultured eukaryote. Its description in RNAcentral is "SSU rRNA". It matches the Rfam family "Eukaryotic small subunit ribosomal RNA", at positions 592 to 934 of the family's 1831-position model. The record is from RNAcentral.